GACGAACGCUGGCGGCGUGCCUAAUACAUGCAAGUCGAACGAGAGCGACCGGUGCUUGCACUGGUCAAUCUAGUGGCGAACGGGUGAGUAACACGUGGGUAACCUGCCCAUCAGAGGGGGAUAACAUCCGGAAACGGAUGCUAAAACCGCAUAGGUCUUCGAACCGCAUGGUUUGAAGAGGAAAAGAGGCGCAAGCUUCUGCUGAUGGAUGGACCCGCGGUGCAUUAGCUAGUUGGUGAGGUAACGGCUCACCAAGGCCGUGAUGCAUAGCCGACCUGAGAGGGUGAUCGGCCACAUUGGAACUGAGACACGGCCCAGACUCCUACGGGAGGCAGCAGUAGGGAAUCUUCCGCAAUGGGCGCAAGUCUGACGGAGCAACGCCGCGUGAGUGAAGAAGGUUUUCGGAUCGUAAAACUCUGUUGUUAGGGAAGAACAAGUGCUAGAGUAACUGUUAGCGCCUUGACGGUAUCUAACCAGAAAGCCACGGCUAACUACGUG
RNAcentral lists this ribosomal RNA (498 nucleotides) under uncultured bacterium. RNAcentral's name for it is "partial 16S ribosomal RNA". It matches the Rfam family "Bacterial small subunit ribosomal RNA", at positions 28 to 507 of the family's 1533-position model. The record is from RNAcentral.